GUGAAGAAGAAUUCAUCGGGGCACUCAAGAGCUCUCUGCGAGCAUGAAGAGUGAGUAUUUGAUGUACUUGAGAAAGAGCACCACAUCAGUCCUACUGUACUAAUGAGGCCUGGAGCCAUAAUAGAAAAGGACAGCAGCAAUUGUCCUAACAUCGACGAGAACAGCUGCACAGAGCCAGCCGCACCUCUGUCACAUGACGAGUCCGUCCCAAGCCCCGCAAGAGCUAAACUUUCGAAUGAAGGGAAUAGGGAAGCA
Molecule: long non-coding RNA, 255 nt
Organism: Rhipicephalus sanguineus (brown dog tick)
Lineage: Eukaryota; Metazoa; Arthropoda; Arachnida; Ixodida; Ixodidae
Exons: 3
Source: RefSeq, a predicted model, not a curated record